This 427-nucleotide ribosomal RNA is filed under the name uncultured bacterium. RNAcentral describes it as "partial 16S ribosomal RNA". It matches the Rfam family "Bacterial small subunit ribosomal RNA", at positions 354 to 796 of the family's 1533-position model. The record is from RNAcentral.
GUGAGGAAUCUUCCACAAUGGGCGAAAGCCUGAUGGAGCAACGCCGCGUGAAGGAUGAAGGUCUUCGGAUUGUAAACUUCUUUUAUGAGUGAAGAAUAUGACGGUAACUCAUGAAUAAGCACCGGCUAACUACGUGCCAGCAGCCGCGGUCAUACGUAGGGUGCAAGCAUUAUCCGGAGUGACUGGGCGUAAAGAGUUGCGUAGGCGGUUAUGUAAGCGAAUAGUGAAACCUGGUGGCUCAACCACACAGACUAUUAUUCGAACUGCAUAACUCGAGAAUGGUAGAGGUAAAUGGAAUUUCUUGUGUAGGAGUGAAAUCCGUAGAUAUAAGAAGGAACACCAAUGGCGUAGGCAGGUUACUGGGCCAUUUCUGACGCUAAGGCACGAAAGCGUGGGGAGCGAACCGGAUUAGAAACCCCAGUAGUCC